CUUUUUAUAUUCAGUUUGUAAUUUUGUGCACCGAUGCUGCGUCUGGCGCAUGGCUGUACCCUAGAUCUUAUGUCUAAGGCUUCUCUCCGUCUUUCCGGUGAAUGUAUUUUAAGACCAAUCAGAGGCGGUUGCUGGGCAGACCAGAAAGGACCGGCCAAUCAGCGUUAUUCUGCCAAUGUUAGCUGACGUAUGUCGUUAUUAACCUCGACGUAUCUCGUCAUUGGCCACGACCUUCUGUGGGAGGAGCGCAGAGAGGCGGAGAAAGGAAGUCGGAAAACACAUUUAAGCCAAGUUUGAAUCGUUGCUUCUGUUUGCUCGUACUGUGAGAAAACACGAGCAGGUCUGGAUACUGAAACAAACUCUGGAGCUGCUUUUUUGUUGCUCUGGUGUGAGACUGGACGCUGAACUCACCUGCGGCUUGAAGGUGUCACCACUUCAUCCACGACAUCGUCUGCGAUCGCCAAGAUGUCAUGCAUGAUUGCAGAGACGUGGUCCAUGAUUGGAGACAUUGUCCAUGCUUCUUAGAGAACUUGUGCAAGAAUCGGUGGAGACUGGGGUCACUGAUUCGAUGGUAUCGCCUGUGCUCAUGGAGACAUUGUCUGAUCACGGAGACACCGUUUAUGAUCUCAGAGACAUCAUCCAUGAUCACAAAGACAUUGUCAGUGCUCGCAGAGACAUUGUCCAUAAUCUCAGAGACAAUGUCCACGAUCACAGAGACAUUGUCCACGAUCGCAGAGAAUCGUCAUACAGUGAAGAAGUUCUUUGAGACCAGGACUGAGGCCUCCAGGGGUCACCACUUUGUCCAUGACAUCAUCCACGGUCACAGAGACAUGAUCAGAGAGACAUUGUUGAGGAUGAGGGAGACAUUGUCGACGACUCUGUCCCCGAUUUGACAGCAUUGUCUGCAAUCAGUGAGACAUUUAGUUGAUCACAGAGACUUUCUCCAUAAUCUCAGAGACAUUGUCUGCGAUCACAGAGACAUUGUCCAUGAUCACAGGGACCUUGUCCAUGAUCACAGAGAGUCUUUGUGCAAUGAAGAAGUUCUUGGAGACCAGGACAGAGGCCUCCAGAUAAUUCACAACAGCUUUACAUCUACUGUCCAAUACAGAGCACUGACAUUAAAUUCUAUAUCUUCAGUAAUUUUGAAUAUUGAAUAUUGAAUAUUGAAUAUUUGUCAUAAAAAAGACUUCUCUCAUUAUUAAAGUUUAUUUACAUAGUUCAUGAAUGUACAGUUCAAAGAAAAUGAAGAAUUUAAUCUCUCUCGCCCUCCCCCUCCCUCUCUCUCCCUCUGUCGCUCUCCCUCUCACUCUUCGUCUCUCUCCCUCGCUCUCUUUAUCUUUCUAAUUCUUAUGCUUUUGCUCUGUCUGCCUCCCUCUCUCUCCCUGUCUCUUUGUCUUGUUCUCUCUUCCUUUCUCUCUCACUCUUCAUGCUUUUUGUCUCCCCCUUUUUCUUGCACACUUUCUCUCCUUUUCUCUUUGUCUCUCUAUGUCUCCCUUUCCCUCUCUAUCUCCCUUUGUCUCUCCCUUUCUCAUUAGUAUAGUAAAUCAUAAAAAUAUGAAGAACUCAUUCAGUUCAGUGUCACACUAGAAACUAAUUUUGCUUCAUUUUGGCUUAUAUCAACCAAGUUUAGUUCAAAUUUUAACUGACUUUGGAGAAACAAACAUUUCCAUCCACUGCUGUUGUGUGAGUAUCAGGAGCUGGUGGAGUCAGUUCUCCAGUAAUAGCAGCAGCUUCUGUCUUUCUGUAGAAAGCAAAUUUAACUCCUGGACUAGUUCUGAAUGGUCCACGACCACUUAGUCCACGCUCUGGUGUCUUUGUUUUUGACGCCUUACUAUACUAUGACAUUUACUGACUGUUUUUGACACUUGUUUGUUUUUACAUUUUUCAAUGUCUUACUAUACUAUGGCAUCAUUUGACACCUUACAUUAAGUAGUAAGCAGUUUUGAUGGUUUUUGAUGCCUUACUAUACUCUGAAAUUUUUUGACUGUUUUUGAUGCCUUACUACACUAGGAUAUUUUUAAAACUAUUUUUGAUGUCUUAUGACAUUUAUUGACAGUUUUGAUGGCUUAUUAUGCUGUGACAUUUUCUGACCAGUUUUCUCACUUUACUAUACUAUGACAUUUUUUGUCCGUUUUUGAUGUCCUACUGUACUACGAUGUUUAUUGACAGUUUUUGAUAGCUUACUAUACUGUGACAAUUUUUGAGCAGUUUUCAUGCCUUACUAUACUGUCAUUUUUUGGCCAGUUUUCACACCUUACUAUACUAUGUCACUUUUUUGACAGUUUUUGACGGCUUACUGUACUAUGACAUUUUUUGGCCAUUUUUGACCAUUUUUGACGCCAUACUGUACUAUGACAUUUUUGGGCCAUUUUUGAUGCCUUACUAUACUAUGACAUUUUUUGGCCAUUCUUGACCAUUUUUAACCAUUUUUGAUGCCUUACUAUACUAUGACAUUUUUUGGCCAUUUUUGACCAUUUUUGAUGCCUUACUAUACUAUGAUAUUUUUUGGCCAUUUCUGACCCCUUACUAUGUUAUGACAUUUUUUGACCAGUUUUCACGCCUUACUACACAAUGUCAUUUUUUUUUUACCUUUUCUGACACCUUACUAUACCAUGACAAUUUUGACUGUUUUUGAUGUCUUAGUAUAGAUACCAUUACAUUUUUUGACAGUUUUAGGCGGCAUACUAUACUAUGACAUGUGGCUGAUGAAAAAGGAACUAUCUCGGAGCAGUAAAAGUCUUUUGUUUUCCACAGACACACACAUAUUCACACUUUCACAAUCUUACAGUGUUUGUCAACCAUCUUAAAUCAAUGUGUUUUCCGUUUCAUUUUGGUAUUUUUCUUUUUCAAUCAGUGCAAUAUCAGUACUCAGAUCCAAUCUAAUAUUGUGUAUAUAGUGCUGUUUAUACUGUUCAUAUUGUUUAUACCUUUUUCCUAUUGUUAGAAUUUAUUUUGUUUUAUAUCUUGUCAUCUUACUCUCACUCAAAUAAAUACUUCUUAACACUGAA
Molecule: long non-coding RNA, 3008 nt
Organism: Lates calcarifer (barramundi perch)
Lineage: Eukaryota; Metazoa; Chordata; Actinopteri; Centropomidae
Exons: 3
Source: RefSeq, a predicted model, not a curated record